RNAcentral lists this transfer RNA (69 nucleotides) under Camelus bactrianus (Bactrian camel). It matches the Rfam family "tRNA". Rfam says of the family: Transfer RNA (tRNA) molecules are approximately 80 nucleotides in length. Their secondary structure includes four short double-helical elements and three loops (D, anti-codon, and T loops). RNAcentral also lists the same sequence under 2 other names. Lineage: Eukaryota; Metazoa; Chordata; Mammalia; Artiodactyla; Camelidae. The record is from Rfam by way of RNAcentral.
GGGUGUAGCUCAGUGGUAGAGUGUGCGCCUGGCAAGCAGAGGUCCUGGGUUCAAUCCCCAGGACCUCCA